Molecule: ribosomal RNA, 403 nt
Filed under: uncultured bacterium
Lineage: Bacteria
Description: bacterial SSU rRNA
Rfam family: Bacterial small subunit ribosomal RNA
Source: RNAcentral
GCCCUUCGGUUCGGAAUAACUCAGGGAAACUUGAGCUAAUACCGGAUACGUGCGAGAGCAGAAAGAUUUAUCGCCGAAGGAUCGGCCCGCGUCCGAUUAGCUAGUUGGUGAGGUAAUGGCUCACCAAGGCGACGAUCGGUAGCUGGUCUGAGAGGAUGAUCAGCCACAUUGGGACUGAGACACGGCCCAAACUCCUACGGGAGGCAGCAGUGGGGAAUAUUGGACAAUGGGCGCAAGCCUGAUCCAGCCAUGCCGCGUGAGUGAUGAAGGCCUUAGGGUUGUAAAGCUCUUUCGCCAGGGACGAUAAUGACGGUACCUGGAUAAGAAGCCCCGGCUAACUUCGUGCCAGCAGCCGCGGUAAUACCAAAGGGGCUAGCGUUGUUCGGAUUUACUGGGCCGUCGC